Small nucleolar RNA from Melopsittacus undulatus (budgerigar), 133 nucleotides. Lineage: Eukaryota; Metazoa; Chordata; Aves; Psittaciformes; Psittaculidae. The record is from Ensembl.
GCACCUGAAUCUUCCCUGUUGCUCGCUGUGCAUUGCAGAUCUGGGGGCAGUUGGUGCUACAGCACAGCAGUGGAAAUCCAGAUGGGUUGUUCUCCACUGGUUUGGAACUCAUCCCUCCACCUCUGCAACAUCU